CCCUUAGACGUUCUGGGCCGCACGCGCGCUACACUGACCAGUGCAACAAGCAUCCGUCCUUGGCCGACAGGCCCGGGCAAUCUUUGAACGCUGGUCGUGAUGGGGAUAGACUUUUGCAAUUUUUGGUCUUCAACGAGGAAUUCCUAGUAAACGCAAGUCAUCAACUUGCAUUGACUACGUCCCUGCCCUUUGUACACACCGCCCGUCGCACCUACCGAUUGAAUGGUCCGGUGAAGCCUCCGGAUUGGCGCGCACCUCGGUGCCGCCGAGAAGUUGGCUAAACCUUACCAUUUAGAGGAAGGUGAAGUCGUAACA
This 315-nucleotide ribosomal RNA is filed under the name uncultured eukaryote. RNAcentral's name for it is "partial 18S ribosomal RNA". It matches the Rfam family "Eukaryotic small subunit ribosomal RNA", at positions 1470 to 1796 of the family's 1831-position model. The record is from RNAcentral.